This 490-nucleotide ribosomal RNA is filed under the name uncultured bacterium. RNAcentral describes it as "partial 16S ribosomal RNA". It matches the Rfam family "Bacterial small subunit ribosomal RNA", at positions 30 to 507 of the family's 1533-position model. The record is from RNAcentral.
AUUGAACGCUGGCGGCAGGCCUAACACAUGCAAGUCGAACGGUAACAGGAAGCAGCUUGCUGCUUUGCUGACGAGUGGCGGACGGGUGAGUAAUGUCUGGGAAACUGCCUGAUGGAGGGGGAUAACUACUGGAAACGGUAGCUAAUACCGCAUAACGUCGCAAGACCAAAGAGGGGGACCUUAGGGCCUCUUGCCAUCGGAUGUGCCCAGAUGGGAUUAGCUAGUAGGUGGGGUAACGGCUCACCUAGGCGACGAUCCCUAGCUGGUCUGAGAGGAUGACCAGCCACACUGGAACUGAGACACGGUCCAGACUCCUACGGGAGGCAGCAGUGGGGAAUAUUGCACAAUGGGCGCAAGCCUGAUGCAGCCAUGCCGCGUGUAUGAAGAAGGCCUUCGGGUUGUAAAGUACUUUCAGCGGGGAGGAAGGGAGUAAAGUUAAUACCUUUGCCCAUUGACGUUACCCGCAGAAGAAGCACCGGCUAACUCCGUG